Molecule: ribosomal RNA, 253 nt
Filed under: uncultured bacterium
Lineage: Bacteria
Description: partial 16S ribosomal RNA
Rfam family: Bacterial small subunit ribosomal RNA
Source: RNAcentral
UACGUAGGGUGCGAGCGUUGUCCGGAAUUAUUGGGCGUAAAGAGCUUGUAGGCGGUUUGUCGCGUCUGCUGUGAAAAUCCGAGGCUCAACCUCGGACUUGCAGUGGGUACGGGCAGACUAGAGUGUGGUAGGGGAGACUGGAAUUCCUGGUGUAGCGGUGAAAUGCGCAGAUAUCAGGAGGAACACCGAUGGCGAAGGCAGGUCUCUGGGCCGCUACUGACGCUGAGAAGCGAAAGCAUGGGGAGCGAACAGG